RNAcentral lists this ribosomal RNA (462 nucleotides) under uncultured bacterium. RNAcentral describes it as "bacterial SSU rRNA". It matches the Rfam family "Bacterial small subunit ribosomal RNA", at positions 917 to 1382 of the family's 1533-position model. The record is from RNAcentral.
GGACCCGCACAACCAGUGGAGCAUGUGGUUUAAUUCGAGACGAAACGAAAGACCUCACCCAGCCUUGACAUGAUACCGUUUUAAGCACUCAGAAAUGAGAGCCUAUCUUUAGAAAUAUUGAUGGUACCACAGGUGCUGCAUGGCCGUCGUCAGCUCGUGCCGUAGGGUGUUCCCUUCAGUGGGGUAACGAGCGCAACCCUCAUCCUAAGUUGAAUAUUCUUAGGAGACUCCCUAAAUUUAUUUUAGGGGGAAGUGAGGACGACGUCAGGUCAGCAUGGCCCUUAUAGCUGGGGCCACACACAUACUACAAUGGAGCCGACAGAGGGUUGCCAAGUGGCAACACGGAGCUAAUCCCAAAAACGGCUUCUCAGUGGGGAUUGAGGGCUGCAACCCGCCCUCAUGAACUUGGAAUUGGUAGUAAUCGCGGAUCAGCAUGCCGCGGUGAAUACGUUCUCGGGUCUU